Molecule: non-coding RNA, 135 nt
Organism: Triticum aestivum (bread wheat)
Lineage: Eukaryota; Viridiplantae; Streptophyta; Magnoliopsida; Poales; Poaceae
Source: Rfam
UUAGUACUUCCUCCGUCCGAAAAUACUUGUCAUCAAAAUGAAUGAAAAAUGAUGUAUCUAGAACUAAAAUACAUUUAGAUACAUCCUUUUUUAUUUUUUUCGAUGACAAAUAUUUUCGGACGGAGAAAGUACCAU